UGUUUUGUUGGCUGGAUGGUCUGUUUGGGUUUACCCAUACAGGGCGCUAGCCCGUCGGUGCUUUUGCACCGCGCCGUCCGCAGGCCUUUGGCCGUGAGGACAGAACUGAACA
RNAcentral lists this unclassified non-coding RNA (112 nucleotides) under Agrobacterium tumefaciens. Lineage: Bacteria; Pseudomonadati; Pseudomonadota; Alphaproteobacteria; Hyphomicrobiales; Rhizobiaceae. The record is from RNAcentral.